GGGGGGAUAGCUCAGUGGUAGAGUGAGUGCUUAGCAUGCCCAAGGCCCUGGGUUCAAUCCCCAGUCCCUCUA
This 72-nucleotide transfer RNA is filed under the name Camelus bactrianus (Bactrian camel). It matches the Rfam family "tRNA". Rfam says of the family: Transfer RNA (tRNA) molecules are approximately 80 nucleotides in length. Their secondary structure includes four short double-helical elements and three loops (D, anti-codon, and T loops). Further hydrogen bonds mediate the characteristic L-shaped molecular structure. tRNAs have two regions of fundamental functional importance: the anti-codon, which is responsible for specific mRNA codon recognition, and the 3' end, to which the tRNAs corresponding amino acid is attached (by aminoacyl-tRNA synthetases). tRNAs cope with the degeneracy of the genetic code in two manners: having more than one tRNA (with a specific anti-codon) for a particular amino acid; and 'wobble' base-pairing, i.e. permitting non-standard base-pairing at the 3rd anti-codon position. The record is from Rfam by way of RNAcentral. Lineage: Eukaryota; Metazoa; Chordata; Mammalia; Artiodactyla; Camelidae. RNAcentral also lists the same sequence under 2 other names.